This 168-nucleotide small RNA is filed under the name Crocodylus porosus (Australian saltwater crocodile). RNAcentral's name for it is "TUC338 (ENSCPRG00005005292.1)". The record is from RNAcentral. Lineage: Eukaryota; Metazoa; Chordata; Crocodylia; Crocodylidae.
AUGAAUAUAAAGACUAAAAUGCCCAGAACAGGGAUAGCGCAGGCACUAAUAGUGUAAGUUUCCCUACACUUUUCUAUCAUCAGUGUGCCUCAACCCAGCUCUGCAGGGACCACCUCUUGGCAUGAGAAGGUAGUUUAGUCUCCAAACCUAUUUCAGUCCUUGGCCUGC